This 162-nucleotide ribosomal RNA is filed under the name Primula halleri. RNAcentral's name for it is "5.8S ribosomal RNA". It matches the Rfam family "5.8S ribosomal RNA". Rfam says of the family: 5.8S ribosomal RNA (5.8S rRNA) is a component of the large subunit of the eukaryotic ribosome. Lineage: Eukaryota; Viridiplantae; Streptophyta; Magnoliopsida; Ericales; Primulaceae. The record is from RNAcentral.
AAAACGACUCUCGGCAACGGAUAUCUAGGCUCUCGCAUCGAUGAAGAACGUAGCAAAAUGCGAUACUUGGUGUGAAUUGCAGAAUCCCGUGAACCAUCGAGUUUUUGAACGCAAGUUGCGCCCGAAGCCAUUAGGCUGAGGGCACGCCUGCCUGGGCAUCUC